This 221-nucleotide long non-coding RNA is filed under the name Felis catus (domestic cat). RNAcentral's name for it is "lncRNA (ENSFCAG00000052989.1)". The record is from RNAcentral. Lineage: Eukaryota; Metazoa; Chordata; Mammalia; Carnivora; Felidae.
AUGAGUAACUUAUGCUUUUUUUUCCUCUAUAGAAUUGCUGCUGUUAAGAAGAGAGUUGGUCCUGAGAUCCUUUCCCCAGCUACAAAGAUGGGCAUCCAAUUCAGUUCCAAAGAAAAACAUAGGCCUUGCAUGGAAACUCUUAAGAAAUGUCAAGAGCUGGGUCCUGUUGAAAAGGUUAGUAGUUAUAGAAAAAUAUUUCAAAAACAUAAAUGCGGCAGUUU